CACACCGCGUGAGUGAGAAGGGUUUCGGCUCGUAAAGCUCUGUUGUUAAAGAAGAACACGUAUGAGAGUAACUGUUCAUACGUUGACGGUAUUUAACCAGAAAGUCACGGCUAACUACGUGCCAGCAGCCGCGGUAAUACGUAGGUGGCAAGCGUUAUCCGGAUUUAUUGGGCGUAAAGAGAGUGCAGGCGGUUUUYUAAGUCUGAUGUGAAAGCCUUCGGCUUAACCGGAGAAGUGCAUCGGAAACUGGAUAACUUGAGUGCAGAAGAGGGUAGUGGAACUCCAUGUGUAGCGGUG
This 297-nucleotide ribosomal RNA is filed under the name uncultured Lactobacillus sp. RNAcentral describes it as "partial 16S rRNA". It matches the Rfam family "Bacterial small subunit ribosomal RNA", at positions 393 to 683 of the family's 1533-position model. The record is from RNAcentral. Lineage: Bacteria; Bacillati; Bacillota; Bacilli; Lactobacillales; Lactobacillaceae.